Molecule: ribosomal RNA, 395 nt
Filed under: uncultured bacterium
Lineage: Bacteria
Description: partial 16S ribosomal RNA
Rfam family: Bacterial small subunit ribosomal RNA
Source: RNAcentral
AUACGUAGGGUGCAAGCGUUAAUCGGAAUUACUGGGCGUAAAGCGUGCGCAGGCGGUUUUGUAAGACAGUGGUGAAAUCCCCGGGCUCAACCUGGGAACUGCCAUUGUGACUGCAAGGCUGGAGUGCGGCAGAGGGGGAUGGAAUUCCGCGUGUAGCAGUGAAAUGCGUAGAUAUGCGGAGGAACACCGAUGGCGAAGGCAAUCCCCUGGGCCUGCACUGACGCUCAUGCACGAAAGCGUGGGGAGCAAACAGGAUUAGAUACCCUGGUAGUCCACGCCCUAAACGAUGUCAACUGGUUGUUGGGGAUUUAUUUUCUCAGUAACGAAGCUAACGCGUGAAGUUGACCACCUGGGGAGUACGGCCGCAAGGUUAAAACUCAAAUGAAUUGACGGGG